GCAGUCGAGCGGUAGCACAGAGAGCUUGCUCUCGGGUGACGAGCGGCGGACGGGUGAGUAAUGUCUGGGAAACUGCCUGAUGGAGGGGGAUAACUACUGGAAACGGUAGCUAAUACCGCAUAAUGUCGCAAGACCAAAGUGGGGGACCUUCGGGCCUCAUGCCAUCAGAUGUGCCCAGAUGGGAUUAGCUAGUAGGUGGGGUAACGGCUCACCUAGGCGACGAUCCCUAGCUGGUCUGAGAGGAUGACCAGCCACACUGGAACUGAGACACGGUCCAGACUCCUACGGGAGGCAGCAGUGGGGAAUAUUGCACAAUGGGCGCAAGCCUGAUGCAGCCAUGCCGCGUGUAUGAAGAAGGCCUUCGGGUUGUAAAGUACUUUCAGCGGGGAGGAAGGUGUUGAGGUUAAUAACCUCAGCAAUUGACGUUACCCGCAGAAGAAGCGCCGGCUAACUCCGUGCCAGCAGCCGCGGUAAUACGGAGGGUGCAAGCGUUAAUCGGAAUUACUGGGCGUAAAGCGCACGCAGGCGGUCUGUCAAGUCGGAUGUGAAAUCCCCGGGCUCAACCUGGGAACUGCAUUCGAAACUGGCAGGCUAGAGUCUUGUAGAGGGGGGUAGAAUUCCAGGUGUAGCGGUGAAAUGCGUAGAGAUCUGGAGGAAUACCGGUGGCGAAGGCGGCCCCCUGGACAAAGACUGACGCUCAGGUGCGAAAGCGU
RNAcentral lists this ribosomal RNA (713 nucleotides) under uncultured bacterium. RNAcentral describes it as "bacterial SSU rRNA". It matches the Rfam family "Bacterial small subunit ribosomal RNA", at positions 57 to 762 of the family's 1533-position model. The record is from RNAcentral.